Molecule: unclassified non-coding RNA, 288 nt
Filed under: uncultured Exophiala
Lineage: Eukaryota; Fungi; Ascomycota; Eurotiomycetes; Chaetothyriales; Herpotrichiellaceae
Description: sequence contains ITS2
Rfam family: 5.8S ribosomal RNA (bases 1-52)
Source: RNAcentral
AACGCACAUUGCGCCCUUUGGUAUUCCGAAGGGCAUGCCUGUUCGAGCGUCAUUAUCACCCCUCAAGCCCUCGGCUUGGUGUUGGACGGUUUGGUGGAGGCCCCCUUUGCGGGCUUCUACCCCUCCCAAAGACAAUGACGGCGGCCUCGUUGGACCCCCGGUACACUGAGUUCUUCACGGGACACGUAUCGGACUACGGGUUUACGGGACACGGUCUGCCUCCCCUCAGGGAGAAUCUUUUUUAUCAAGGUUGACCUCGGAUCAGGUAGGGAUACCCGCUGAACUUAA